GCCGGGAUUGUCUAGUGGUUAGGGCAUUGCGCUGUGGCACAAUAACGCAGGUUCGAAUUCUGGUCACGGCA
Molecule: non-coding RNA, 71 nt
Organism: Cordylochernes scorpioides
Lineage: Eukaryota; Metazoa; Arthropoda; Arachnida; Pseudoscorpiones; Chernetidae
Source: the annotation of a GenBank genome assembly